This 252-nucleotide long non-coding RNA is filed under the name Gallus gallus (chicken). RNAcentral describes it as "lncRNA (ENSGALG00010023139.1)". Lineage: Eukaryota; Metazoa; Chordata; Aves; Galliformes; Phasianidae. The record is from RNAcentral.
CGCUUCUGCUGGAUGACACAUGAAGGCCAUGUGUGGCCCAGCAGACCAUCUGAACACAGAGGUACUUCAGUGGCUCAACUGGGACAUGUCUCUGCACAUCACACAUUCCCUGUUAGGAAUCAGCCUCUUUCUAAGGGAAACUGGACUGAUUAGUACCCAUUUGCUGGGUUCUGCUGCAUUAUGACACUAACAUGUGGCAUCAUUUCAAACCAGGUGGGAUUUUCUUUAAAGCAAUCUUUGGUGACAAAAAAA